GACGAACGCUGGCGGCGUGCCUAAUACAUGCAAGUCGAACGCUUCUUUCCUCCCGAGUGCUUGCACUCAAUUGGAAAGAGGAGUGGCGGACGGGUGAGUAACACGUGGGUAACCUACCCAUCAGAGGGGGAUAACACUUGGAAACAGGUGCUAAUACCGCAUAACAGUUUAUGCCGCAUGGCAUAAGAGUGAAAGGCGCUUUCGGGUGUCGCUGAUGGAUGGACCCGCGGUGCAUUAGCUAGUUGGUGAGGUAACGGCUCACCAAGGCCACGAUGCAUAGCCGACCUGAGAGGGUGAUCGGCCACACUGGGACUGAGACACGGCCCAGACUCCUACGGGAGGCAGCAGUAGGGAAUCUUCGGCAAUGGACGAAAGUCUGACCGAGCAACGCCGCGUGAGUGAAGAAGGUUUUCGGAUCGUAAAACUCUGUUGUUAGAGAAGAACAAGGACGUUAGUAACUGAACGUCCCCUGACGGUAUCUAACCAGAAAGCCCCGGCUAACUACGUG
Molecule: ribosomal RNA, 508 nt
Filed under: uncultured bacterium
Lineage: Bacteria
Description: partial 16S ribosomal RNA
Rfam family: Bacterial small subunit ribosomal RNA
Source: RNAcentral